Molecule: ribosomal RNA, 312 nt
Filed under: Triticum aestivum (bread wheat)
Lineage: Eukaryota; Viridiplantae; Streptophyta; Magnoliopsida; Poales; Poaceae
Description: partial small subunit ribosomal RNA
Source: RNAcentral
AUGGCCGACGGCCUCGUCCUCGUCGACGAAGGCUUCGAGGGCUGUCGGAUUUCCACUGGCGCGGCUGACGGCGGCUGGGACAGAGGUGCUCCGUGCUCCAGGACCAGGGUGGGGUGGUGCAGUGGCCGCAUGAACAUGCUCAGGGGCUUCAUCGGCGGGGUGCUCAGGAGACGGGCGAUGUGGAUGCUGCCCACCCAUAUGGUACACAACAUGGGGGAGUCCAUCUCCGACCGUCCCAAGCAGAACCAUGAUAGACCUACAACGGCAGGUUGUUCAAAUGAUAAGAGACAUUCCCAUUGUGGUUACAACUGA